RNAcentral lists this ribosomal RNA (3317 nucleotides) under Trichinella pseudospiralis. RNAcentral describes it as "eukaryotic LSU rRNA". The stretch from base 1152 to 3317 matches the Rfam family "Eukaryotic large subunit ribosomal RNA", at positions 1 to 2598 of the family's 3401-position model. Lineage: Eukaryota; Metazoa; Nematoda; Enoplea; Trichinellida; Trichinellidae. The record is from RNAcentral.
GUCUGAUCUGAGGUCGACAUUACACAACAAACAACAAAGCGAAUGUUUUUCAUCACAGUAAAAAAACAAACCUGCGCUGACACUGCGCACACACAACCAGCAGCAGCAGCAGCAGCACGGCACAUUACCACUGUCACGUUUAUUUCCACACAUUUUCAUCAUCACACUUGAUGAAAUGAAAAUAAACGUUCUACAGAGCAACAACGCAGCAAUGAAACCGUGCAAUGGUAAGCAAGCGCGUCAAAAAUUUGUUGUUGUUGUUGUUGUUGUUUGGUCGCCAUCAUCAUCAUCAACUGAGCAACAACACAUCACCUGAACGUUGACGACGAUCAACAUACACACACACACAAACAACUUGUUGCACGAAACAACAACAACAAAAUAAGCACACAUUUUCAUCAGCUGCUCACCAUAUAUCGGUUUUUUCAUUGAUGACUACUACUAUUCACGCCAAAAAGAGAACAUGUUUGCAGCGUUUCACUUUCAGGUUACACCAAAAACCACCACCGGCACACUCAGCAGCAGCACAACAUGUGAAGCACUGAAAGCAAACGUCGACAACACUCUCCAAAUCUAUGUUGCGGAUGCAAAUACACACAAAACUGAUUGUUCCAUCACAUAAGCACACACAAUUGAUGAUGAUAGAAACAACAGUAAUAUGCAAAGCAGAUUGAAUGAUGCGCAAAGCGAAAAGAAGCGCAAACACAGCAGCACAUACGCGCGCGAGCGUAUUGUGGCUGGCGGCUUCUUGUCACAACAACAACACAACACAUUCAACGAUCCACCAGCUUUUGAUUGAACACACACAACAUAAAAUUGGCAGCAGUCGCAAGAGAUGAUCCCACACACAACAACACAUUUUUGGCCAGCGACUAAAAGCCCAGUUGUUGUUGUGUUAGCUGCUUUUCAAGAACAACAACAACAACAACGGGCAAUUGUACGAUAUUUAAAAUGAAAACGACCCUCAGACAGACGCGGCGUCGAGUCAACUCAACACCGCAAUGUGCGUUCAAAAUUUCUAUGUUCAACGUGGCUGCAAUUCACAUAAACUUUCGAGUCUCGCCUCGUUUUUCAUCGACGUACGAGCCAAGUGAUCCACCGUUCACAGUGAUAAUAUCAGUUUUUUAAACAUUCUACGAGAAAUAAAUUGAAAACCGCAACAACAACAACAACAAGCCGGAAUGCUGCUGCUCUUCACACGUAAUGAAAAACUACUAAGAGCACCACAGCAGCCGAACACUAACAACACUGUUGUUCUCAACUUAUUUCUUUACCAUAUAUGCACACAACUUUAUGUAAACAGUUUUGUAGCAAAUGAUUGAAAAUUGUCUUUACAUGCUUCAUCAACACACAAAAGAAACAUGCGCAAUUUUCAUUUUGAUUGGACGUGGCGGUUGACCAAAACUAUUGAAACCCAAACACAACGGCAGCAGCAGAAUGACAACAACCACUUGGUCAUCAUUCUGCUCUUCACAUACAGCUGCUGCUUCUCAUUUUGGUCACACUCUUUAAACCUGAUGCACAACACAACACAUAGAACUUUUUCACAACAGAACAAAUUACUGCACCCGUCUGCACAACAAAUGCAACACAACUCAACUCACAGCCAGACACAAUAUCAUCAAAAUACAGCAGCAUCAACAACAACAACAACACAAAAUAAUAAUCAUACACAAAAAACAACCACAACAACAACUGUUGCUUCUGCUGCUGCUGCUGCUGCUGCUAUUGUUUACUUGCUGUUGUUGUGUGUUGUUGUACACACACACCCACACAAUUCUGUGUGCAGUUGUCGUAUGUUUUCGAAAGGGAAUCCGGUUGAUAUUCCGGAACCGAGUAACGGAGACAAAGAGUAGCGCUUUAAUCUUCCGGUUGGCGUUCAACUCAAUCGCGCGGUAACGCAAGCGAACUCGGAAAAUGACCGUCGUGAGUUUCGAAAAGAGUUUUCUUUUCUUUUUAAGGGACGCAUUCCCUGGAACCGGGUUGUCCGGAGAUAGGGAUUCUGGUAUCCAUAAAACGCCGACUCUUUCACGGUGUUCGGAGCGCUCUCGUCGGUACGUGAAAAUCCGAGCGACGCCUGGUAAAUCUCGUACUUGGUCGUACUGAUAUCCGCAGCAGGUCUCCAAGGUGAAUAGCCUCUGGCCGAUAGAAUAAUGUAGGUAAGGGAAGUCGGCAAAACGGAUCCGUAACUUCGGAACAAGGAUUGGCUCUAAGGGCUGGGCCGAUCGGGCUGAGGUUUCAAGCGUGCAGUGUAUGCUUGGCUGAGCUGUGCUGAGGAUUGAUUAGCUUGGUGCCGUUUGUUGACCCAAGCGGCUGUCCAGGUGGUCAUGUCUGAAGCAAAGCUGGCCGACAGACCGGCACGUGCAGAACCUGAGCUGCGCGGCUGUCAGUUUAUUUGUACAGACCGUUUCGGUCGGCAUUCAACAGCCAACUUAGAACUGGCACGGACACAAGGAAUCUGACUGUAUAAUUAAAACAAAGCAUUGCGAUGGCCGAUGAUCGGUGUUGACGCAAUGUGAUUUCUGCCCAGUGCUCUGAAUGUCAAAGUGAAGAAAUUCAACCAAGCGCGGGUAAACGGCGGGAGUAACUAUGACUCUCUUAAGGUAGCCAAAUGCCUCGUCAUCUAAUUAGUGACGCGUAUGAAUGGAUCAACAAGAUUCCUUCUGUCCCUAUCUACUAUCUAGCGAAACCACAGCCAAGGGAACGGGCUUGGCAAAAUCAGCGGGGAAAGAAGACCCUGUUGAGCUUGACUCUAGUCUGACUCUGUGAAGAGACAUGAAAGGUGUAGCAUAGGUGGGAGGCUGCAGCCGGGCACUGCUUGCGCGGUGUCUCUGUGGUCGCCAAUGAAAUACCACUACUUUGACAUAGCGUGUUCGAGGAAAACCUUUUGAAAAGCACGUUCAUUGCUUGACUUGUUGUUUAUUAUUAAAUUAACAUGGCUGAGGAUGUGGCUGGCAAAUUCAAAGAGGCCGGUAUUGUACCGGAUGUUUUGGACAAGGCACCGACUGAGAAAUUGGAAGUAUUGUUUCCAGGAAAGCCGGCCGUUAGCCUUGGCGAUAUAUUUCACACUCUAGAUGUACGUCAUGCUCCGAAAGUUAGCUAUCCAGGAAAAGAAGGCCAUUAUUACUCUUUGAUCAUGAUAGAUCCUGAUAAUUUGAGCCGUGAAAAUCCAUGUCAAGCAGAAUGGAUUCAGUGGAUGGUUUUAAAUAUACCGUACGAUGCAAUUUCUGCCGGAAUGAUGUCACGUCAUCUUGUUGGUUAUAUGAUACCUGGUCCUCAACCAAGAACUGGCUUGCAUCGUUUUGUGUUUUUGUUGU